This 482-nucleotide ribosomal RNA is filed under the name uncultured bacterium. Its description in RNAcentral is "partial 16S ribosomal RNA". It matches the Rfam family "Bacterial small subunit ribosomal RNA", at positions 30 to 507 of the family's 1533-position model. The record is from RNAcentral.
AUUGAACGCUGGCGGCAUGCCUUACACAUGCAAGUCGAACGGUAACGGGCCUUCGGGUGCCGCCGAGUGGCGAACGGGUGAGUAAUACAUCGGAACGUGCCCGAUCGUGGGGGAUAACGAGGCGAAAGCUUUGCUAAUACCGCAUACGAUCUACGGAUGAAAGCAGGGAACCGCAAGGCCUUGCGCGGACGGAGCGGCCGAUGGCAGAUUAGGUAGUUGGUGGGAUAAAAGCUUACCAAGCCGACGAUCUGUAGCUGGUCUGAGAGGAUGAUCAGCCACACUGGGACUGAGACACGGCCCAGACUCCUACGGGAGGCAGCAGUGGGGAAUUUUGGACAAUGGGCGCAAGCCUGAUCCAGCCAUGCCGCGUGCAGGAUGAAGGCCUUCGGGUUGUAAACUGCUUUUGUACGGAACGAAAAGCCUUCUUUUAAUACAGGAGGGUCAUGACGGUACCGGAAGAAUAAGCACCGGCUAACUACGUG